CGGAACGUGCCCAGUAGCGGGGGAUAACUACGCGAAAGCGUAGCUAAUACCGCAUACGCCCUACGGGGGAAAGCAGGGGAUCGCAAGACCUUGCACUAUUGGAGCGGCCGAUAUCGGAUUAGCUAGUUGGUGAGGUAAUGGCUCACCAAGGCGACGAUCCGUAGCUGGUUUGAGAGGACGACCAGCCACACUGGGACUGAGACACGGCCCAGACUCCUACGGGAGGCAGCAGUGGGGAAUUUUGGACAAUGGGGGAAACCCUGAUCCAGCCAUCCCGCGUGUGCGAUGAAGGCCUUCGGGUUGUAAAGCACUUUUGGCGGGAAAGAAACGGCGUCGACUAAUACUCGGCGUAACUGACGGUACCCGCAGAAUAAGCACCGGCUAACUACGUGCCAGCAGCCGCGGUAAUACGUAGGGUGCAAGCGUUAAUCGGAAUUACUGGGCGUAAAGCGUGCGCAGGCGGUUCGGAAAGAAAGAUGUGAAAUCCCAGGGCUCAACCUUGGAACUGCAUUUUUAACUACCGGACUAGAGUAUGUCAGAGGGGGGUGGAAUUCCACGU
This 559-nucleotide ribosomal RNA is filed under the name uncultured bacterium. RNAcentral describes it as "bacterial SSU rRNA". It matches the Rfam family "Bacterial small subunit ribosomal RNA", at positions 119 to 674 of the family's 1533-position model. The record is from RNAcentral.